GCGGAAGAAUCUUAUGG
Molecule: ribosomal RNA, 17 nt
Filed under: fungal sp. 4.10.3B
Lineage: Eukaryota; Fungi
Description: partial 18S ribosomal RNA
Source: RNAcentral